GAGAGGGGGUGACUAGUGACAGAGUGAGUGGGUGACUAGUGACAGAGUGAGGAAGGGGGUGACACAGUGACAGAGUGAGGAAGGGGGUGACACAGUGACAGAGUGAAGGAGGUGGUGACUGUCACUAGUCACCCCAUCCCUCCCUCUGUCACUAAUCACCACCUCCGUCACUCUGUCACUAGUCACCCCUCCCCUCCCUCUCUCUGUCACUAGUCACUCCUCCCCUCCCUCUCUCUGUCACUAGUCACCCCCUCCCUCUCUCUGUCACUAGUCACCCCCUCCCUC
Molecule: non-coding RNA, 285 nt
Organism: Pelobates cultripes (western spadefoot toad)
Lineage: Eukaryota; Metazoa; Chordata; Amphibia; Anura; Pelobatidae
Source: the annotation of a GenBank genome assembly